Molecule: long non-coding RNA, 869 nt
Organism: Manis pentadactyla (Chinese pangolin)
Lineage: Eukaryota; Metazoa; Chordata; Mammalia; Pholidota; Manidae
Exons: 3
Source: RefSeq, a predicted model, not a curated record
UGUCAAACAACUGUCACAGUCAGCCUGCCGCCCGGCCAGCAAGACAUGUGCCCUGGACAGCCGCCCGCAGGCAGACAGGCUGUGUGUGUUCCCUCGGCAGCCAGAGGAUGUGCGGUGUGCUUGGGGACUCAUCCGCUAGCACAGGAGAAAGACAGCAUCACUGGCGAGUCCAGGUUUGUUGGAAAGCCGCUUAGUGCGCCAACCCUGGAGCCGCACUUCAUUCUCUGCAGAGGAGGCAGCUUCGAGAUGGCGCACCUUAGUCACUGAGGAGCAUGGCCAUAUUGGAAACGACAUGUUGAAAAUAAGGGAGUCAAAACUGGAAGAAGCCUGCGUCUCUGAAUUUCUGCUCAAAGGAGACCAUCUGUCAACCAAAAACUCCUAUUCUGCACUUAACAUGAGUGGGAGAGGUACUAUGUCACAAUGAGCACAUAUGAGCAUGUUCCUUGGAAGAUAACCAGUGGAAGAUAAACAAAAUGUUGGGCUUCAGUUGGAGCAGAGCCUUCCAAAAGACAUGAGGUGACUAGUUGCUCCUGAGAGAACUAGAAUUUUUGGACUGUUGGCCGAACGAAUAUUUAGGAGAUUGCCUCUGUGUGUCUGUGUACACGCUCAAAUCUUGCCUCUAGUUCUGAGGAAAGAGAAGAAGAAAGAUGAAUGUAGGACCACCAACCUCAAUACGACAGGCACCAAGGAUUGAAGAGAAGACAUUGCUAUUUGUGAAUUCCUGUGUGGGUGUCUGUGUGGUGGCAGGUGAGGGUGAGGCAAAGAGGAGGACAGCUAACUGCUGACACCAUGGUCCUCCGUUGAUGCUAAGGUGCUGAGGGGCCAAAGCCUCUCACAGACUUUUCCUGAUUCUUCCCAUGCUGCCAUGA